RNAcentral lists this long non-coding RNA (1029 nucleotides) under Anas platyrhynchos platyrhynchos (common mallard). RNAcentral's name for it is "lncRNA (ENSAPLG00000023185.1)". Lineage: Eukaryota; Metazoa; Chordata; Aves; Anseriformes; Anatidae. The record is from RNAcentral.
GCAGUACGAACUGCUCGUGUAGAGAAGCAAACUUUGCCACUACUUUUCCUGUCGCCUUUUUUUAUAGAAUGCUGUAACUCCCAGUGCUUUAUGAUGUCUCACGUUAAGGACAGUUUGUAACGUGUUCAGCAGGAUGGUGAUUUACUCAAAGCUGGCUUCAUUGCCUCCAGUGAGGUCCUUUCGGGGAUUCCUAGUUUGUGUGCAAAGGGGAAGAAUUUUUGCAAAUCUUGAGUCAUUUUCUAGCAAAUAGGAUUAUCCGUUUCAGGAAUAUAAAGCUUUUUUCCUUCUGUCUUCCUUCCUAAUUGUAUGUGUCAGGUCAUGUUCACUUCUUCUCCAUCCUAUACACUGAACGUGGCAAGCUGACGGAGCCAUGGACCUGCAGACUGCAUGUUUUUGGGAGCACACAGUGCCCAAAGCAUCUCCUGCUGCAAAGCCUUGGAUAUCUGUUUGUCCCAUCCCACUCCCCGCUUGCGAUGGGAUUUUCCAGUUCAUUAUGGUGUAACGGGAUGGCAGCUACAGAGACUAAGGAAAUCAACAUAUGAUCUCAACAACAACAGCUGAGAAGCGCAAUUAAGGACAUCACUCAGAGACACUGCAGCAAACUUCGGUGGAGCAUGAAGAAGGCUCAGAAGUUCACGUAAGUCUGUAUCUUCACAAAUGCAAAUGGCAAAAGUAUCUGUUACCUCUCUAACUCUUUUGGGGCCUUGCUGGGGGCCAGUGUAGUGUGCUGUCCCAGCACGCCAGUGAAGGCAAGCCAGGGGGCCUGCAAGGUGUGUUAGUGCCCAUGGGGCCCUGACAUCACGUGUUAACAUACAUAUUUUCAGGCAUUAUUUUGUUGCACUCUCAGUUCUGUGUGUCUGUAGGUACGCUAACACCUGUUCUGCAUUCCCAAAAUAAGCAGGGCAUUAACUCACCAUGAGGACAGCUCUGCCAGUGGUAAUUGCAUAGCUAUUUUCUGAGUCCCACAAAGGUUGGUAAAGCCAUAAAAAGUUACUAAAGCAUAGCUGAAAUUAUGUAAUGGUGAGCUGA